UCCGGAUUGGAAGCCCCAAGGAUUCUGAGAGCCCCGCUAAUCUGGGGAUGACUCCUAGGAGUAGAAGACGGUCCAUCUUAGUUGUCACGAGUAUCUCACUUCUUGGAAUCCGGCGGCGUUCACGUGUGUGCUCCAGAGAAGGGCGCCAGAGGGUAUUCCCUGAAAGUGAAAGGUCGGCGAAAGAGGAGUAAAGACGGCGAGACGCGUCCACGCAGGGGGAGUCUGUGCGGUUUGGAGGAACGCGCCAAUGUCUGCACUCAUGAGGAGCCCCCAAGGGCGGUUUUAAGAGGGUGAAGCAGGACCGGGCGCAGUGACUUACGCCUGUAAUGUAAGUGCUUUGGAAGGCCUAGGCAGGAGGAUCUCGAGCCCAGGAGUUCGAGAUUAGCCUGAGACCUCAUCGCUACCAAAAUAAAUAAAGUAGGCAUCCAUUUGUGUAAAACAAACCAUAUAUACACACAUAUAUACAUAUAUAAACAUUUGUAUAUAUAGGUAUAGGCAUAGUUAUCUAUACCUUGUAAACCAAAAAUAAAAUUGUAAGCCUCCCCAACCAACUGA
This 555-nucleotide non-coding RNA is filed under the name Pan troglodytes (chimpanzee). The record is from RNAcentral. Lineage: Eukaryota; Metazoa; Chordata; Mammalia; Primates; Hominidae.